UGGAGAUACUAUUAGACUUGAGACCGGGAGAGGUUAGAGGUACUCCCAGGGUAGAGGUGAAAUUCUGUAAUCCUGGGAGGACCGCCUGUUGCGAAGGCGUCUAACUGGAACGGUUCUGACGGUGAGGGACGAAAGUUAGGGGCGCGAACCGGAUUAGAUACCCGGGUAGUCCUAACUGUAAACGAUGCGGACUUGGUGUUGGGGUGGCUUUGAGCUGCUUCAGUGCCGAAGGGAAGCUGUUAAGUCCGCCGCCUGGGAAGUACGGUCGCAAGACUGAAACUUAAGGAAUUGGCGGGGGAGCACCACAACGCGUGGAGCCUGCCGGGUUUAAUUGGAUUCAACGCCGGACAUCUCACCAGAGGCGACAGCUGUAUGAUAGCCAGGUUGAUGACUUUGCUUGACUAGCUGAGUAGAGGUGCAUGG
RNAcentral lists this ribosomal RNA (423 nucleotides) under uncultured archaeon. RNAcentral describes it as "bacterial SSU rRNA". It matches the Rfam family "Archaeal small subunit ribosomal RNA", at positions 576 to 997 of the family's 1478-position model. The record is from RNAcentral.